RNAcentral lists this ribosomal RNA (497 nucleotides) under uncultured bacterium. RNAcentral describes it as "partial 16S ribosomal RNA". It matches the Rfam family "Bacterial small subunit ribosomal RNA", at positions 28 to 507 of the family's 1533-position model. The record is from RNAcentral.
GAUGAACGCUGGCGGCGUGCCUAAUACAUGCAAGUCGAGCGAACGGACGAGAAGCUUGCUUCUCUUAUGUUAGCGGCGGACGGGUGAGUAACACGUGGAUAACCUACCUAUAAGACUGGGAUAACUUCGGGAAACCGGAUCUAAUACCGGAUAAUAUUGUGAACCGCAUGGUUCAAAAGUAAAAGACGGUCUUGCUGUCACUUAUAGAUGGAUCCGCGCUGCAUUAGCUAGUUGGUAAGGUAACGGCUUACCAAGGCAACGAUGCAUAGCCGACCUGAGAGGGUGAUCAGCCACACUGGAACUGAGACACGGUCCAGACUCCUACGGGAGGCAGCAGUAGGGAAUAUUCCGCAAUGGGCGAAAGCCUGACGGAGCAACGCCGCGUGAGUGAUGAAGGUCUUCGGAUCGUAAAACUCUGUUAUUAGGGAAGAACAUAUGUGUAAGUAAAUGUGCACAUCUUGACGGUACCUACUCAGAAAGCCACGGCUAACUACGUG